UAAAGAUUGUAAACGCGAUGGUGUCAGUGAGAAAGAUGUGUCUUCUUCUGUGUCUACGACGGAAAAAAAUGUGUCGUCUGAGAUACCUUCUGCUGUUCCUAUUGUACACUCUAGUCAUCAGAAACCCUACUGAAGAGGCCUUGACAGGCGAAAUGCAUUUGGGUCUACGGACUCGGGACUUAUUAAGCCUCCAAAGGUCAGAAACGAAUGGAAAACUAGUAGUUUUCCGUGUACUAAAGAUUAGUACAGUACGGUAAUAAUAAUAAAAAAAUAGAUUAUCUGACUCCAUCGAUUCUUUUUAGAAUAUUUUUA
RNAcentral lists this long non-coding RNA (312 nucleotides) under Centruroides sculpturatus (bark scorpion). RNAcentral's name for it is "uncharacterized LOC111612630". The record is from RNAcentral. Lineage: Eukaryota; Metazoa; Arthropoda; Arachnida; Scorpiones; Buthidae.